CAGCAGCCGCGGUAAUACGGAGGGUGCGAGCGUUAAUCGGAAUAACUGGGCGUAAUGGGCACGCAGGCGGUUAUUUAAGUGAGGUGUGAAAGCCCCGGGCUUAACCUGGGAAUUGCAUUUCAGACUGGGUAACUAGAGUACUUUAGGGAGGGGUAGAAUUCCACGUGUAGCGGUGAAAUGCGUAGAGAUGUGGAGGAAUACCGAAGGCGAAGGCAGCCCCUUGGGAAUGUACUGACGCUCAUGUGCGAAAGCGUGGGGAGCAAACAGGAUUAGAUACCCCGGUAGUCCCUGUCUCUUAUAC
RNAcentral lists this ribosomal RNA (301 nucleotides) under uncultured bacterium. RNAcentral describes it as "partial 16S ribosomal RNA". It matches the Rfam family "Bacterial small subunit ribosomal RNA", at positions 509 to 807 of the family's 1533-position model. The record is from RNAcentral.